This 446-nucleotide ribosomal RNA is filed under the name uncultured bacterium. Its description in RNAcentral is "bacterial SSU rRNA". It matches the Rfam family "Bacterial small subunit ribosomal RNA", at positions 29 to 521 of the family's 1533-position model. The record is from RNAcentral.
AGCGAACGCUGGCGGCAGGCCUAAUACAUGCAAGUCGAGCGCACCUUCGGGUGAGCGGCGGACGGGUGAGUAACGCGUGGGAACGUGCCCUUUGCUACGGAACAACUGAGGGAAACUUCAGCUAAUACCGUAUGUGCCCUUCGGGGAAAGGAUUUAUCGGCAUUGGAGCGGCCCGCGUUGGAUUAGGUAGUUGGUGAGGUAAAGGCUCACCAAGCCUACGAUCCAUAGCUGGUCUGAGAGGAUGAUCAGCCACACUGGGGACUGAGACACGGCCCAGACUCCUACGGGAGGCAGCAGUGGGGAAUAUUGGACAAUGGGCGCAAGCCUGAUCCAGCCAUGCCGCGUGAGUGAUGAAGGCCUUAGGGUUGUAAAGCUCUUUGGCGGGGACGAUAAUGACGGUACCCGCAGAAGAACGCCCCGGCUAACUUCGUGCCAGCCGCCGCCGU